Oryctolagus cuniculus (rabbit) is the source of this 1945-nucleotide non-coding RNA. The record is from RefSeq and is a predicted model, not a curated record. NCBI's taxonomy places the organism in Eukaryota, Metazoa, Chordata, Mammalia, Lagomorpha, Leporidae.
AUUCUGUUAUGGAAACUCCAGACUGUUACCUGGUAUGCUGGACCCUACCUCCUCACCCUGGUAGAGGCCUACUACAGGCAGUGCUAUCAGCUCUGGGCCCUGGCAUUUUUAUCCUUGUUUGUGUGAUUAAGGACUUCCAGGUGCUGUUGGGUGUUUGAUCAAUCACUUGAUCAGUGAUUCUCCACAGUAAGACUGACAGUUAUUGUCACCCCCAAGUCCUUAUUGAAGCUAUUUGACUUCAUUUGUUUUAACCCAUCACAUGUUUGGGUUUCUUCUCCGUGGCCUCUGAAUCUACCUCUUCUGUCAAAAACAUCAGCAUGGCAGGGUCUUCCAGGGCUCCAUCAGAUUCAAGGGUGGAAAUCCAGGACCUGUGCUCCCAGCUGGUAAAGAGUCAACAGGAGUCUGAAGAUCUCAAAGAGAGGUUUCCUGUAUCUGAGACUAUUGCCUAUGCCCUGGCCAACCAGCUACAGAAAUAUGAAAAUGAUGAUGGCAAAGAUGAUGAAGGAGAGAGAGAACCCCUGUCCCACAUGAAUAACAUGGACUGGUUUUCAUGGGUGUGAGAAAGACAAAGAUCAAGGAUCACUGAACUCUCUGAUACCCAGAAAACCAUGAGAUGGAGGAAGAUGGAGAACUGGAAUCACUGGCUUCCAGGUAGUGAGAUGUGUUUGGAAGCUGAUGAGCAAAGGAAAAUCUAUAGAGAGCUGGAUUUGGAUGCUCCCUUGUAGUGAAGAGCCUUCCCAUGCUGGAGUGUGAUGCUCAUGGAUGCUCAGCUGCUAGCACGCAGGAGAAUCAAGUCAUUGGCCACACUGAUGGCUUAAGCAGCUCCAAACAGAAGACUAUCAAAAAAAACCUGCAGCCCAACAAGUGGAAACCAGUGUGCAGACUCCCAGGACUUACAGCUGAGGACGCAGAGGAAUCUGGGUCUCGUUGGCCCAGCUCAGGCUGGGUGACUUCUCCUGGAGCAGGCAGAGGGAGGGGACACAACAAGACCUUGUCCAAAGAAGGAGAGAUUGUGCCAAGAAAGAAGACAACGCUGAGGAGACCUUUCGCCCCAGGGGUCACCCUAAGGACAGCGUGGGAGGACUUGCCGGGUUGCGGGGCCCUCGGCUGCGGGGCCAGAACCUCGGACGCCAGCGACGGGCGCAGCUGCACGGCUUGGGCGGGCUCACCGCGGACGGGGACCCCCAGGUCGCCACCGGGUUCCAUGUGCGGGCGACUUCCUUGAGGACGCGGUUUCCCGCCCCGGGCUCCUGCGUGAUUCUGUGUGUGAUGUGCAAGGAAGAAUGUCAAGGAGAGGACUGUGGACUGAGGGCCUGGGGCGCUCACCUGCAGCCAGCGGUCACUGAGGCCCUGGGGAGAACAGGCCCAGGGGGCCAGGCACCGAGUGGCCCCGUCUCAGUCGCGGUGUCAACCCCCCAACUUGCCAAGGAACAAGACGUCAUGCCUCCAGUGCCAGGGAAUUUGGAAUAUGUGUUCAGUGGGAGCUGGGUGUGAAGCGUCUUCCAACCCCAGGGAGCAGUCUAGGGCUUUACAGCGUUUCCUCUCUGUGGGGUCGUCAGUUCGCAGGUGGCUGGUAGUGGAAAAGGUUGGUUGUUCAAGAGCACUGCACGAUGUUCUGGCCCUCACCCGCCUUUUUCUUCUGGUUUCUGGUUCUCAAAAUUUACCAAAUUCAGAUUUGGACUGCUGGCCUAGUGGUUAACAUGUAGGAUUGGGAUGCCUGCACCCCACAGCUGAGCGCCAGGCCUGGGUCUGCUCCCUGAUACAGCUCCCUGCUAAUGUGCACCCUGGCAGGCAGCAAGUGAUGUCUCAAGUAGCUGGGUUUUUGCAACCCACAUGGAAAACCCAGGCUAAGUUCCUGCCUCCAUUCUUUGGCCCCUAGCCAAGGGCUGUUGGUGACAUUUGGAGAGUAAACCAGGAGGUGGCAUUCCUGUUGGUCUAUCUCACU